RNAcentral lists this ribosomal RNA (442 nucleotides) under uncultured bacterium. RNAcentral's name for it is "partial 16S ribosomal RNA". It matches the Rfam family "Bacterial small subunit ribosomal RNA", at positions 338 to 795 of the family's 1533-position model. The record is from RNAcentral.
CCUACGGGCGGCAGCAGUGGGGGAUAUUGCACAAUGGGGGAAACUCUGAUGCAGCGACGCCGCGUGGGCGAAGAAGUAUUUCGGUAUGUAAAGCCCUAACAGCAGGGAAGAAGAAAUGACGGUACCUGAGUAAGAAGCACCGGCUAAAUACGUGCCAGCAGCCGCGGUAAUACGUAUGGUGCACGCGUUAUCCGGAUUUACUGGGUGUAGAGGGAGCGCAGGCGGCACGGCAAGCCUGAUGUGAAAGCCCGCGGCCCAACCGCGGGACUGCAUUGGGAACUACCGGGCUGGAGUGCCGGAGAGGUAGGCGGAAUUCCUAGUGUAGCGGUGAAAUGCGUAGAUAUUAGGAGGAACACCAGUGGCGAAGGCGGCCUACUGGACGGUGACUGACGCUGAGGCUCGAAAGCGUGGGGAGCAAACAGGAUUAGAUACCCGUGUAGUC